This is a non-coding RNA of Camellia sinensis, 4625 nucleotides long. The record is from RefSeq and is a predicted model, not a curated record. Lineage: Eukaryota; Viridiplantae; Streptophyta; Magnoliopsida; Ericales; Theaceae.
AUUCUUUGAAGUCCAUGCUUUCAUUGGAGAGUAUCUGAUUUUAAACUAGUUCAUGUUCUAGUUUUUAUGCUUGUAGAAAUGUUGUUGGUUUCUUUUCUUUAGGCUUCAGAUUUCAAUUUUUGAGUUGGGAUUUUUGUGGUUUGGGUUUAGCGCAGAGAACUGAUGCUAAAAUAGAAAUGAAUGUUUGAUAACAGUGGAAAUUAAAAUUAAGGGCUUUCACCUCUCUAAUGGAUUUCUUUUUAAAAAUUUUGGGGGCAAUGGCAAUUCCAAUUAGCUGAGAAAGAAACAGAGCGAGCAAGCUAUGCACGAUAGAGCUCUCAGUUCCUCCCUCCCAUACUAGGCAUUGAUGGUGACUCGAAUACAAGGAUUCAUAGUUCCAAACCCUGUUUCAGUUUCCUUGCUUCGUCACUUCCCCUAUAAAAUUGCCCUCAAGUUUCAAAAGUACUUAUCUGGUAGUGUGCGUAGAUUGAAUUUCGCUUCCUUUAGUAAGGCAGCGAUUGCUCAAUAUCUCAAUGAAUUCCCUGCUGAAGAACAUGAUGAAAGAGAUGCAAUCGACUUGUCCAGGUGCAUAAAGGGACUUGAUUUUCUUAAUUUGAUGGAACAGCGUGGAAUACACGCAAAUCAUCAGACUUACCUCUGGCUCUUACAAGGAUGUGUCAAUUCUGGGUCUUUAAUAGAUGCUCAGAAGCUUCAUGGGAGGAUCUUGAAGCUUGGUUUCAAUGGGGAGCAUGCAAUUAGUAGCCGACUUAUCAAUGUUUAUGCUGCUCUUGGUGAUUUAGAUGAUGCAGUUAAGCUUUUUGACAAUUUGUCUGAUACAAGUGUAUCUACCUGGAAUUUAUUAAUCUCUGGUUUUGUUGGAAUGAAAUUGACCAGUCAAGUGUUGGGUCUAUUUUCACGAAUGCUAGAAGAAAAUGUAAUCCCAGAUGAAAUCACAUUUGCACAUGUUCUAAGGGCAUGCAUUGGUGAUAAAGUUAGCUUCUGGUAUGUCGAACAGAUUCAUGCUAAGAUUAUUCAUCUUGGUUUUGGUUCAAGUCCCCGUGUUUGUAAUCCUUUAAUUGAUUUGUAUUCGAAGAGUGGGUUAGUGGAUUCUGCUAAACUUGUCUUUGAAAAAUUGUCUUCGAGGGAUAGUGUUUCUUGGGUUGCUAUAGUAUCCGGUUUAUCUCAAAAUGGAUAUGAAGAAGAAGCAAUCCUCUUAUUCCAUGAGAUGCACAGAUCAGGAAUAAUUCCUACUCCAUAUAUCUUCUCAAGUGUUAUAAGUGCCAGCACCAAAAUAGAGUUAUUCAAGCUGGGAGAGCAGCUUCAUGCCCUUAUUAAUAAAUGGGCAUUUGCAUCUGAAACUUUUGUGUGUAAUGCACUCGUCACAUUGUAUUCCCGCUGUGAGGACUUUAUAUCUGCUGAACAACUUUUCAGCAAAAUGCAGUGCAAGGAUGAAGUUUCAUAUAAUUCGCUCAUCUCAGGGCUUGCUCAGCAUGGAUUCAGCGAGAGAGCUCUCCAAUUAUUUGAGAAAAUGCAGCUUGAUUAUUUGAAACCUGACUGUGUUACUGUUGCAAGCCUCGUGAGUGCUUGUGCGUCAGUAGGGGCUCUUCAUAAGGGACAACUACUCCACUCGUAUGCGAUAAAGGCUGGAAUCUCUUCAGAUGUUAUUGUUGAAGGUUCUCUGCUUGACCUUUAUGUAAAAUGUUCUGAUGUAGAAACUGCCCAUGAAUUCUUCCUUGCAACGCAGAAGGAAAACAUUGUUUUAUGGAACGUGAUGCUAGUGGCUUACGGGCAGAUAGGCGAUCUGAGGGAGUCAUUUCGGAUAUUCUCGAAGAUGCAGAUUCAAGGCUUGAGACCUAAUCAAUACACCUAUCCAAGUAUAUUGAGAACCUGCACAUCCGUGGGAGCUUUGGAUCUGGGGGAGCAGAUCCAUACCCAAGUCAUAAAGACUGGUUUUCAGCCAAAUGUAUAUGUUUGUAGUGUGCUUAUAGAUAUGUAUGCUAAGCAUGGAAAAUUGGAUACUGCUAACAAGAUUCUCAGACGACUCAAAGAGGAAGAUGUUGUCUCUUGGACAGCUAUGAUUGCUGGGUACACCCAGCAUGAUCUGUUUGUUGAAGCCUUUAAACUUUUUGCAGAAAUGGAAGACCAAGGGAUCCGAUCAGACAACAUAGGAUUUUCAAGUGCAAUAAGUGCAUGUGCUGGAAUCCAAGCACUCAAUCAAGGACAACAAAUUCAUGCUCAAUCAAUUGUCUCUGGUUAUAUGCUGGAUCUUUCAAUUGGAAAUGCACUCAUUUGUCUUUAUGCUAGAUGUGGUAUGAUUAAAGAUGCUUACUUAGCAUUUGAAAAAAUUGAAGCUAAAGAUAAUAUUUCCUGGAACGGAUUGAUAUCAGGAUUUGCGCAGAGUGGGCACUGUGAGGAAGCACUCGAGGUAUUCUCUCGAAUGAAUCAAGCUGGAGUCGAACCCAAUAUGUUCACGUUUGGUUCUGCAGUUAGUGCUGCUGCUAAUACAGCAAAUAUAAAACAAGGGAAGCAGAUUCAUGCUAGGAUUAUAAAAAUGGGAUAUGAUACAGAAACUGAGGCAUCCAAUGUUUUAAUCACAUUGUAUGCAAAGUGUGGGAGCCUUGAUGAUGCCAAGAGAGAGUUUCUUGAAAUGCCUGAGAAAAAUGAAGUUUCUUGGAAUGCCAUGAUCACAGGCUAUUCUCAACACGGAUGUGGUAGGGAUGCGAUAGAACUCUUUGAGGAAAUGAAACGGCUUGCUGUGAUGCCAAACCAUGUCACAUUUGUCGGUGUUUUAUCAGCCUGUAGUCAUGUGGGAUUGGUAGAAAAGGGGCUCGGCUACUUCAAUUCCAUGAGCAAAGAACAUGGUCUUGUUCCAAAACCAGAACAUUAUGUUUGUGUUGUAGAUAUUCUUGGGCGGGCUGGCUUUCUGUGCCGUGCAAGAGAAUUUAUAAAGGCAAUGCCGAUUGAACCAGAUGCCAUGGUCUGGAGGACCCUCUUAAGUGCUUGCACGGUGCACAAGAACAUGGAAAUUGGAGAAUUCGCUGCCUGUCAUCUUCUUGAACUGGAACCUGAAGACUCAGCAACUUAUGUUCUCUUGUCGAAUAUGUAUGCAGUUACAGGGAAAUGGGACUGUAAGGAUCAGACGAGACAAAUGAUGAAAGACAGAGGUGUAAAGAAAGAGCCUGGUCGUAGUUGGAUUGAGGUUAAGAAUUUGAUUCAUGCAUUCUUUGUUGGCGACAGACUCCACCCUUUAGCAGAUAAGAUAUAUGAGUUCUUAGAGGAUCUGAACAAACGAGCAGCUGCAAUUGGUUAUGUACAGGAUCGUUCUAGCCUUUUGAAUGAUAUAGAGCAGGGGAAGAAGGACCCAACUGGGUACAUACACAGUGAAAAACUGGCUAUCGCUUUUGGACUCAUAAACUUGUCUAAUACAAUACCCAUACGUGUGAUUAAGAAUCUUCGUGUCUGUAAUGAUUGCCACAAUUGGAUUAAGUAUGUGUCAAAAAUCUCGAAUCGGGCUAUUGUAGUACGAGAUGCAUACCGCUUUCAUCAUUUUGAAGGUGGUACUUGUUCAUGUAAAGAUUUCUGGUAAUUUGAACUUCGAGGAUGUGAUCAUGGAGACAAAUGAAUCACUUGAGGGCUCCAGGGUUGAAAAUACCUCUUAGCCUCCAAGGACUGUUAUGGCCUCUCCCUUGGAUACUUGUUCAAUGUGAUUAUAACAAAAUCAUUUCUCUAAUAAUAAGGUGAAGGUAUCAAACAAACCAGUGAUGCAGCUUAAAUCUGGAUCUCUGUAGCAUCUGUAGUUAGAGGUCUUCCACGUAAACUCAUCCACUGAGGCAGACUCAGAGUUGCUCAAUUUCAGUUCAGAAUGUUCGCACUCAAUGUCUUAUUAACUGGAAUGGAAAAUGGAGUUUUCUUAUCAUUGCUUUGUUAAAUAUCAUAUACUUAAGUUCUCUUACCAACAUGUGGGGAGGUUUCAGACAGGAUCUCUGCUGAACGAUGUUAAUUUGUUGGCAAAGUUGAAGGGGGUUGAUGAAAGGUUUCUCAUAGAUGAGCUUCAUAGAAGGAAACAUCCUGUUCCCUGAAAACAAAGAUGCUAGUGAUACAGAGGAUGACGAUGCUGAUGAUCAGGACGUUGAUGAUGGAGGUGAUGAAGAUUUCACUGGCGGAGAAGGUGCUGGGGAUGAUGAUGAUGGAGAUCCCAAGGAUGAUCAAGAUGGUAAUGGUAAUGGGGUAAGUAAUGAUGAGGACGACGACGACAAUGGCGAUGAGCAUGAAGGUGAUGAGGAAGAGAAAAAGGAGGAAGAGGAAGUUGAAGAGGAUCGACAACCGGCUAAGAAGAGGAAGUGGAAGUAGUUGUAGGUCUUUCGGUAGUCUCUCUCUCUCUCUCUUCUUGGUUGGGAGUAUGUUGUUGGAUGUAGAAGGUUUAGCUUGUCUGUCUUCAUAGAAUAGGAAAUUCGACGUCCAUGCUUUGAAUGAAUCUCCGCCAUAUAUUAUGUUAAAAAUUUUCAUGAUAGAGGUUCCAUUUGGUGGAAUUAUAAAUUCCUAUUCUCGCUCCAUUAAAUCUAAGUUGCGAUUUUAAUGUGAGUUUUUUGAGAUACAAAAAAGAUUGGUUAAAUGGCAAUGUCUAUAUUUAUCAGUUUUUAUUGAAA